This 1366-nucleotide ribosomal RNA is filed under the name uncultured bacterium. RNAcentral describes it as "bacterial SSU rRNA". It matches the Rfam family "Bacterial small subunit ribosomal RNA", at positions 18 to 1385 of the family's 1533-position model. The record is from RNAcentral.
CAUGGCUCAGGAUGAACGCUAGCGGCAGGCCUAACACAUGCAAGUCGAGGGAGAAGCCCCUUCGGGGCGGAAACCGGCGCACGGGUGCGUAACGCGUAUGCAACCUACCUUUCACAGGGGGAUAGCCCGAAGAAAUUUGGAUUAAUACCCCAUAAUAUUAUUGGAUGGCAUCAUUUGAUAAUUAAAAUUACGAUGGUGAAAGAUGGGCAUGCGUCCUAUUAGCUAGUUGGAGUGGUAACGGCACCCCAAGGCUACGAUAGGUAGGGGUCCUGAGAGGGAGAUCCCCCACACUGGUACUGAGACAGGGACCAGACUCCUACGGGAGGCAGCAGUGAGGAAUAUUAGUCAAUGGUCGGAAGACUGAACCAGCCAUGCCGCGUGCAGGAAGAAUGCCUUAUGGGUUGUAAACUGCUUUUAUAUGGGAAGAAUAAGGAGUACGUGUACUUUGAUGACGGUACCAUAUGAAUAAGCAUCGGCUAACUCCGUGCCAGCAGCCGCGGUAAUACGGAGGAUGCGAGCGUUAUUCGGAAUCAUUGGGUUUAAAGGGUCUGUAGGCGGGCUAUUAAGUCAGGGGUGAAAGGUUUCAGCUUAACUGAGAAAUUGCCUUUGAUACUGGUAGUCUUGAAUAUCUGUGAAGUUCUUGGAAUGUGUAGUGUAGCGGUGAAAUGCUUAGAUAUUACACAGAACACCGAUUGCGGAGGCAGGGGACUAACAGACGAUUGACGCUGAGAGACGAAAGCGUGGGGAGCGAACAGGAUUAGAUACCCUGGUAGUCCACGCUGUAAACGAUGGAUACUAGCUGUUUGGAGAAAUUUGAGUGGCUAAGCGAAAGUGAUAAGUAUCCCACCUGGGGAGUACGCACGCAAGUGUGAAACUCAAAGGAAUUGACGGGGGCCCGCACAAGCGGUGGAGCAUGUGGUUUAAUUCGAUGAUACGCGAGGAACCUUACCAAGGUUUAAAUGGAGACUGACAGGGGCAGAGAUGCCUUUUUCUUCGGACAGUUUUCAAGGUGCUGCAUGGUUGUCGUCAGCUCGUGCCGUGAGGUGUCAGGUUAAGUCCUAUAACGAGCGCAACCCCUAUUGUUAGUUACCAGCACGUAGUGGUGGGGACUCUAGCAAGACUGCCGGUGUAAACCGUGAGGAAGGUGGGGAUGACGUCAAAUCAUCACGGCCCUUACAUCUUGGGCUACACACGUGCUACGAAUGGUCGUUACAGAGAGCAGCCACUGCGCGAGCGAGGAGCGAAUCUAUAAAGACGGUCGCGGUUUCGGAUCGGAGUCUGCGAACUCGACUCCGUGAAGCUGGAAAUCGCUAGUGAAUUCGGAUAUCGGCCGUAUUCCGGUGAAUACGUUUCCCCGGGCCUUGUA